GGGACGGGGGGAGGGAGAGGGGGGGGAGGGGAAUUUGUAGAGUGCCGAUGGUGGAUGGGGAGGAUAGUGGGGAGAAGGCGUGCGUUGGAGUGGCGACGGGGUCCAUCGGGAAACGUGUGGAGGAGCAUCGGAGUGACAUUGGGAAGGCGAAUCUUAGCACGGCUUUGGCGGGCAAAGCAUAUGAGGGUGGUAUAGUAAUACAAUGGGAUGGGGUGGAAUGUAUUGGGAAGCUCCGGCGCCGGGAGCAGCCAGUAGUGGUGGAGUCCCUAGAGAUCUUAAAGAGAGCAAGGGGGGAAAUAUUAAUAAGUGAUAAAC
RNAcentral lists this long non-coding RNA (315 nucleotides) under Androctonus crassicauda. Lineage: Eukaryota; Metazoa; Arthropoda; Arachnida; Scorpiones; Buthidae. The record is from RNAcentral.